RNAcentral lists this non-coding RNA (29 nucleotides) under Bombyx mori (domestic silkworm). The record is from RNAcentral. Lineage: Eukaryota; Metazoa; Arthropoda; Insecta; Lepidoptera; Bombycidae.
UAUCUUUGGAUCUUUCGGAUAGCUAAAGU